AAGGGCGAGUUUAACAGCUCGCUUGGAAGCCUUCCUAUGUUUUACUACAAACGCUUCAGUUUAAGAAUGUAACCUUGCGUAUAACGCAUCUUUAUACAACUUUCAGCAACGGAUCUCUUGGCUCUCGCAUCGAUGAAGAACGCAGCGAAAUGCGAUAAGUAAUGUGAAUUGCAGAAUUCAGUGAAUCAUCGAAUCUUUGAACGCACCUUGCGCUCCCUGGUAUUCCGGGGAGCAUGCCUGUUUGAGUGUCAUGGUAUUCUCAUCCUUCAUAACUUUUGUUAUCGAAGGCAUGGACUUGGAGGUCGUGCUGGUUCCUCGUUGAAUCGGCUCCUCUUAAAUGUAUUAKCKUUUUUUGURACGGAUCGCUUCGGUGUGAUAAUUAUCUGCGCCGUGSUCGUGA
This 400-nucleotide ribosomal RNA is filed under the name Phanerochaete sordida. RNAcentral describes it as "eukaryotic LSU rRNA". The stretch from base 98 to 251 matches the Rfam family "5.8S ribosomal RNA". Lineage: Eukaryota; Fungi; Basidiomycota; Agaricomycetes; Polyporales; Phanerochaetaceae. The record is from RNAcentral.